RNAcentral lists this ribosomal RNA (619 nucleotides) under Grateloupia hawaiiana. RNAcentral describes it as "eukaryotic LSU rRNA". It matches the Rfam family "Eukaryotic large subunit ribosomal RNA", at positions 1284 to 1899 of the family's 3401-position model. The record is from RNAcentral. Lineage: Eukaryota; Rhodophyta; Florideophyceae; Halymeniales; Halymeniaceae.
AACAACUCACCUGCCGAAUGAAUCAGCCCUGAAAAUGGAUGGCGCUUAAGCGGGCGACCGACACCAUGCCGUCUGUAUAAGAGUAAAUUUUACAGAUGAGUAGGAGGACGUGGCGGUUGUGUCGAAGCAUGCGUGCGAACGCGUGUGGAACGGCCGCUAGUGCAGAUCUUGGUGGUAGUAGCAAAUAUUCAAGCGAGAUCCUUGAAGGGCGAAGCGGGGAAGGGUUCCACGCAAACAUUGAUUGGGCGUGGGUGAGUCGUUCCUAAGCCGAGUGGCAAUUGCUAAGUAGCGGCGAAAGGGAAGCAGGUUGACAUUCCUGCACACGGAUGUGGAGGCGGUGACGCUUUAAUGAGGGCGAAGACGCUGGCGAUGGCGCUGGGCAGAGAUUUCUUUUCUGUUUAACCGCUGAAGCGCGCGGUGUGGAAUCCGCUUGUCGGGAGAAACACGCUCGUUCGGGCAGAGCGCCGGGGCUAUUCCGGCGUCCAGCUCGCCAUCGACGGCCCUUGAAAAUUUGCCUGCUGGAAUAGUUUUUUUAAUAUUCUAUGAAGAUCCACGCCGUGGCGUACCGAUAACCGCAUCAGGUCCCCAAGGUGAACAGCCUCUGCUCUAUAUGAAUAAU